GCGUGCGCAGGUCUGCCGGCGGGAAGCCGUGGGUGCGGGAGGAGCUUAGGCUUCUUCAGUCCCCGGCCCGCCCUGCAGCGAGGAAGCCCGUAGGUGGCCGUGGCGCCCGGGCCCCUAAGGCGCCCUCGCUUACUGGUGCGCCCCCUUCCCACGCUCUCUCGGAGCACACCCCACCUUCCUGCUAUCUGUGCCUCCCCAGCCUCAGCCAAAAGGCUGAAGGACUGGGCCGCGCUUCGCUUCCCACACCUGUGUGCUGGCUGUCCGAGCGCUUUCCAGAAACUCUCCUCUGUGAUGCAAACCCCACAUUUUACAGGUGAAGGAGCCAAGACCCAGAGAGCUUCAGGAUCUGACCCUUGCCAAGCAGUAGUACAAAAAUACGAAUGAACAAGGGGGAAUGUGGCCCUAAAUGUUGUCAGCGACUGCAGACCCAGAAGAUGAUUGGCAACCCAACUUCCAGUCUUAGGUGACAAGUCUUCGGGCAUGGUCAGCAAAGUACUUAAAGGGUCCCUCUCCUUGACUGACUGACUUUAACUGUCUUCUCAGCCUCACAGUUUGGCUGCUCCAUCCUUUCCUCUUCUGCUCCGUCUUCCUCGACUUAGACGAUGGGGCACCUCUGGAUAUGUAAAUCCAACCCAGUU
Leopardus geoffroyi (Geoffroy's cat) is the source of this 638-nucleotide long non-coding RNA. RefSeq lists it as uncharacterized. The record is from RefSeq and is a predicted model, not a curated record. NCBI's taxonomy places the organism in Eukaryota, Metazoa, Chordata, Mammalia, Carnivora, Felidae. The transcript is spliced from 3 exons.